RNAcentral lists this ribosomal RNA (721 nucleotides) under uncultured Lachnospiraceae bacterium. Its description in RNAcentral is "bacterial SSU rRNA". It matches the Rfam family "Bacterial small subunit ribosomal RNA", at positions 42 to 776 of the family's 1533-position model. Lineage: Bacteria; Bacillati; Bacillota; Clostridia; Lachnospirales; Lachnospiraceae. The record is from RNAcentral.
GCGCGCCUAACACAUGCAAGUCGAACGAGCGAGAGAGAGCUUGCUUUCUCGAGCGAGUGGCGAACGGGUGAGUAACGCGUGAGGAACCUGCCUCAAAGAGGGGGACAACAGUUGGAAACGACUGCUAAUACCGCAUAAGCCCACGGUGCCGCAUGGCACAGAGGGAAAAGGAGCAAUCCGCUUUGAGAUGGCCUCGCGUCCGAUUAGCUAGUUGGUGAGGUAACGGCCCACCAAGGCGACGAUCGGUAGCCGGACUGAGAGGUUGAACGGCCACAUUGGGACUGAGACACGGCCCAGACUCCUACGGGAGGCAGCAGUGGGGAAUAUCGCACAAUGGGGGAAACCCUGAUGCAGCGACGCCGCGUGGAGGAAGAAGGUCUUCGGAUUGUAAACUCCUGUUGUUGGGGAAGAUAAUGACGGUACCCAACAAGGAAGUGACGGCUAACUACGUGCCAGCAGCCGCGGUAAAACGUAGGUCACGAGCGUUGUCCGGAAUUACUGGGUGUAAAGGGAGCGCAGGCGGGAAGACAAGUUGGAAGUGAAAUCUAUGGGCUCAACCCAUAAACUGCUUUCAAAACUGUUUUUCUUGAGUAGUGCAGAGGUAGGCGGAAUUCCCGGUGUAGCGGUGGAAUGCGUAGAUAUCGGGAGGAACACCAGUGGCGAAGGCGGCCUACUGGGCACCAACUGACGCUGAGGCUCGAAAGUGUGGGUAGCAAACAGG